Molecule: ribosomal RNA, 863 nt
Filed under: uncultured bacterium
Lineage: Bacteria
Description: bacterial SSU rRNA
Rfam family: Bacterial small subunit ribosomal RNA
Source: RNAcentral
AGAGUUUGAUCCUGGCUCAGAGCGAACGCUGGCGGCAGGCCUAACACAUGCAAGUCGAACGGAUCCUUCGGGAUUAGUGGCGGACGGGUGAGUAACACGUGGGAACGUGCCUUUUGGUUCGGAACAACUCAGGGAAACUUGAGCUAAUACCGGAUAAGCCUUUCGAGGGAAAGAUUUAUCGCCAUUAGAGCGGCCCGCGUAGGAUUAGCUAGUUGGUGGGGUAAAGGCCCACCAAGGCUACGAUCCUUAGCUGGUCUGAGAGGAUGAUCAGCCACAUUGGGACUGAGACACGGCCCAAACUCCUACGGGAGGCAGCAGUGGGGAAUCUUGCGCAAUGGGCGAAAGCCUGACGCAGCCAUGCCGCGUGAAUGAUGAAGGUCUUAGGAUUGUAAAAUUCUUUCACCGGGGACGAUAAUGACGGUACCCGGAGAAGAAGCCCCGGCUAACUUCGUGCCAGCAGCCGCGGUAAUACGAAGGGGGCUAGCGUUGCUCGGAAUUACUGGGCGUAAAGGGAGCGUAGGCGGAUAGUUUAGUCAGAGGUGAAAGCCCAGGGCUCAACCUUGGAAUUGCCUUUGAUACUGGCUAUCUUGAGUACGGAAGAGGUAUGUGGAACUCCGAGUGUAGAGGUGAAAUUCGUAGAUAUUCGGAAGAACACCAGUGGCGAAGGCGACAUACUGGUCCGUUACUGACGCUGAGGCUCGAAAGCGUGGGGAGCAAACAGGAUUAGAUACCCUGGUAGUCCACGCUGUAAACGAUGAGUGCUAGUUGUCGGCAGGCAUGCCUGUCGGUGACGCAGCUAACGCAUUAAGCACUCCGCCUGGGGAGUACGGUCGCAAGAUUAAAACUCAAAAGAAUUGACGGAA